AACGAACGCUGGCGGCACGUUUUAAGCAUGCAAGUCGAAUGGCAGUGGGGGCAACCCCAUGAGAAUGGCGAACGGGUGAGUAACACGUAGGUGAUCUGCCUCACGGAUGGGGAUAGCUUGUGGAAACACAGGGUAAUACCGAAUGAGCUGACGAGACUUUGGUUUUGUUAGUAAAGGUGCUACGGCACCGCCGACAGAGGAGCCUGCGGCUGAUUAGCUAGUUGGUGGGGUAAAGGCCUACCAAGGCGACGAUCAGUAGCCGGCCUGAGAGGGGUGACGGCCACCCGGGAACGGAGACACGGUCCAGACGCCGGCGGGAGGCAGCAGCUAAGGAUCGUCCGCAAUGGGCGAAAGCCUGACGGAGCGAUGCCGCGUGAUCGAUGAAGGUCGAGAGAUUGUAAAGAUCUUUUCUACAUGAGGAAUAAGUCUGGGGGGGAAUGCCUGGAUGAUGACGUUAGUGUAGGAAUAAGCCCCGGCUAAUUACGUGCCAGCCGCCGCAGUAA
RNAcentral lists this ribosomal RNA (503 nucleotides) under uncultured bacterium. Its description in RNAcentral is "partial 16S ribosomal RNA". It matches the Rfam family "Bacterial small subunit ribosomal RNA", at positions 29 to 523 of the family's 1533-position model. The record is from RNAcentral.